CCUACGGGAGGCAGCAGUAGGGAAUAUUGGACAAUGGGCGCAAGCCUGAUCCAGCCAUGCCGCGUGAGUGAAGAAGGCCCUCGGGUUGUAAAGCUCUUUUGUUGGGGAAGAAAAGCAUUUGGUUAAUACCCAGAUGUUCUGACGGUACCCAAAGAAUAAGCACCGGCUAACUUCGUGC
Molecule: ribosomal RNA, 178 nt
Filed under: uncultured bacterium
Lineage: Bacteria
Description: partial 16S ribosomal RNA
Rfam family: Bacterial small subunit ribosomal RNA
Source: RNAcentral